Molecule: ribosomal RNA, 253 nt
Filed under: uncultured bacterium
Lineage: Bacteria
Description: partial 16S ribosomal RNA
Rfam family: Bacterial small subunit ribosomal RNA
Source: RNAcentral
UACAGAGGGGGCAAGCGUUGUUCGGAAUUACUGGGCGUAAAGGGCGCGUAGGCGGCGUGACAAGUCACUUGUGAAAUCUCCGGGCUUAACUCGGAGCGGCCAAGUGAUACUGUCGUGCUAGAGUGCGGAAGGGGCUACUGGAAUUCUCGGUGUAGCGGUGAAAUGCGUAGAUAUCGAGAGGAACACCUGCGGCGAAGGCGGGUAGCUGGGCCGACACUGACGCUGAGGCGCGAAAGCCAGGGGAGCGAACGGG